This 497-nucleotide ribosomal RNA is filed under the name uncultured bacterium. RNAcentral describes it as "partial 16S ribosomal RNA". It matches the Rfam family "Bacterial small subunit ribosomal RNA", at positions 28 to 507 of the family's 1533-position model. The record is from RNAcentral.
GAUGAACGCUGGCGGCGUGCCUAAUACAUGCAAGUCGAGCGAACAGACUAUGACCUUGCUCCUCUCACGUUAGCGUCUGACUUGUGAGUAACACGUUGAUACCCUACCUAUAAGACUGGUAUAACUUCGUGAAACCUGAGCUAAUACCCUAUAAUCUCUUUAUCUUCAUUGUUCAAUAGUUAAAGACUGUUUUUCUGUCACUUAUCGAUGUAUCCUCGCCGCAUUAGCUAUUUGGUAAGGUAACGGCUUACCAAGGCCACGAUGCGUAUCCGACCUGAGAGGGUGAUGGGCAAAACUGGAACUGAGAAACGGUCCAGAGUCCUAGGGGAGGCAGAAGUAGGGAAUCUUGGGAAAUGGGCGAAAGCCUGACGGAGCAACGCCGCGUGAGUGAGGAAGGUCUUGGGACGGUAAGACUCUGUGAUUAGGGAAGAACAAAUGUGGAAGGAAAAAUGCACGUUUUGACGGUACCUAAUCAGAAAGCCACGGCUAACUACGUG